AAUUUCUCAAGCUAGGAUGGAUUUUUUCUGUCCUUAGUUUGGUUGUUGGGCUUUGCCGUGUCCCCUUCAUUGGAAUGGCUGGCCUUAAAAGCAUUAGCUGAUCCUUGUGUGGCACUGGUUCUACUCAAUGUGAUAAUAUUCUGAUCAUUGAGGACAUCUUUUAGGAUGGCCGGGCUUCAUUUGGGUUGCUUCUAAACCUGGUUUUACAGUUUGUUUCAAUCUGUAUUCCACUUUUCAA
This 238-nucleotide unclassified non-coding RNA is filed under the name uncultured Clavulina. RNAcentral describes it as "sequence contains ITS2". The record is from RNAcentral. Lineage: Eukaryota; Fungi; Basidiomycota; Agaricomycetes; Cantharellales; Hydnaceae.